Molecule: ribosomal RNA, 407 nt
Filed under: uncultured microorganism
Description: bacterial SSU rRNA
Rfam family: Bacterial small subunit ribosomal RNA
Source: RNAcentral
CAGCCGCCGCGGUAAUACGUAGGGGGCGAGCGUUACCCGGAUUCACUGGGCGUAAAGGGGGUGUAGGCGGCUCGGUAAGUCGGGUGUGAAAUCCCACGGCUCAACCGUGGAAUUGCGCCCGAAACUGCCGAGCUUGGGGCCGGUAGAGGGAGACGGAACUGCCGGUGUAGGGGUGAAAUCCGUAGAUAUCGGCAGGAACGCCGGUGGGGAAGCCGGUCUCCUGGGCCGCGCCCGACGCUGAGGCCCGAAAGCUAGGGGAACAAACCGGAUUAGAUACCCGGGUAGUCCUAGCCGUAAACGAUGCCCACUAGGUGUGGGGGAGUAGUUCCUCCGUGCUGUAGCUAACGCGUUAAGUGGGCCGCCUGGGGAGUACGCCCGCAAGGGUGAAACUUAAAGGAAUUGGCGGG